AAACUGCGAAUGGCUCAUUAUAUAAGUUAUCGUUUAUUUGAUAGUGCCUUACUACUUGGAUAACCGUGGUAAUUCUAGAGCUAAUACAUGCUAAAAACCCCGACUUCGGAAGGGGUGUAUUUAUUAGAUACAAAACCAAUGCCCUUCGGGGCUCCUUGGUGAUUCAUGAUAACUAUACGAAUCGCACGGCCUUGCGCCGGCGAUGGUUCAUUCAAAUUUCUUCCCUAUCAACUUUCGAUGUUUGGGUAUUGGCCAAACAUGGUUGCAACGGGUAACGGAGGGUUAGGGCUCGACCCCGGAGAAGGAGCCUGAGAAACGGCUACUACAUCCAAGGAAGGCAGCAGGCGCGCAAAUUACCCAAUCCCGACUCGGGGAGGUAGUGACAAUAAAUACUGAUACAGGGCCCUUUCGGGCCUUGUAAUUGG
Molecule: ribosomal RNA, 425 nt
Filed under: Sarocladium strictum
Lineage: Eukaryota; Fungi; Ascomycota; Sordariomycetes; Hypocreales; Sarocladiaceae
Description: SSU rRNA
Rfam family: Eukaryotic small subunit ribosomal RNA
Source: RNAcentral